UGGGCGCUUCCCAUUCACGUCAGACUUGCAAUUGUCUCGAUCCCGGGAUCCUUUGACCAGGCUGUCAAGUUCACCGUUCGAAAUUAAUUGCUCGACAUAAAGCGAGAAUUCCCUGCAAUAAUCUGUCAGAUGGCCGUGGUCCUUGUGGAAUUCACAGAAUUUUCCACUUUUCUGGCGGCGAUCCUUGGUUGCAGGGUCCAUAGAGCGAGG
Molecule: long non-coding RNA, 210 nt
Filed under: Zostera marina
Lineage: Eukaryota; Viridiplantae; Streptophyta; Magnoliopsida; Alismatales; Zosteraceae
Description: long non-coding RNA (ZMAR_LNC004732)
Source: RNAcentral